This 1233-nucleotide long non-coding RNA is filed under the name Nicotiana benthamiana. RNAcentral describes it as "long non-coding RNA (NBEN_LNC029447)". The record is from RNAcentral. Lineage: Eukaryota; Viridiplantae; Streptophyta; Magnoliopsida; Solanales; Solanaceae.
AUACUUCCUUGGGUCUAUGAUUGUUUUUCUCUAAGUUACUCGACCAAACACGGCUCAAGUGCUUUUCCAAUUGAACAUCCAAGCUUUUCAGAUCAAUUUUGUCAGCCCUGAAAAUCAUAUCUUUGCUACUUAUGCUUCCAGGACUCUUUGACUCAAGUGCUUUUCCAAUUGAACAUCCAAGCUUUUCAGAUCAAUUUUGUCAGCCCUGAAAAUCAUAUCUUUGCUACUUAGGUUUCCAGGACUCUUUGCUUCCAUAUUGUUGUCACUAAGGGUACCUAUCCCUUUCAAUUUCGACACGACUUCCCCUUCUUCUCCUUCAUCAUUAUCCAACUUAAGGACCUUCUCUUCACCUUCCUCACUUUUCAAAUCCAUCUUUAAAUUAUUGGAUUAAUACAAACAAAGCUUCACGAAAUUUCUGAUCUGGAAAAAUGAUUAAUAUCAGAUAAUAGAUCCACAAAAGAGCUUCAAAUAGCUGUAAUAAAAAUAAGAGUAUCUCUAAUGAGCAUGCAAAAUAUGCUUCCAAAGGCCAAAAGACAUAUCUAAAAGGAAAGGAAAGGAAGGAAACAAUUAGAGAAACCAAACAAAAAACAACUUGCCAGCCCCAAUUCCAAAGUCUUUUCAAACUCUAAUUCCCUUCCAAAUUUGACCAAAUAAUCAAUCAAAAUUAUUGUUAAAUGGAAAGUAUGAACAAUUCAAAGCAAAUAAAAAAAAAAGAAAACUGACUUUUAAGCUCUUCAAAGACCCAACCUUUUGUUCAUCACCAACCAUGCAUUGAUUUUCACAAAUAAGGACCAUUUAAGUUAAAAGAAAACAAAAAAGUAAACCCUAAGAAAACGACCUCCCAGAAAAUAAAAUAAAAAAUAAAAAGUCAAGAACUACUUUUUUUGAGGGACAAAGAAGAAUACCCACAAUCAGAAAUCAAAAACCCAUAUGCAGAAAUAGAUAAUUUAGCCAUAAACAAAGACAGACGCAAAGUUUGACCAACCCCUUUUUUUCUCUGCUCUGAAUUUUCUUUUCUUUUUAUCUAUAAAGAAAAGGUCAAAGAAUUUCCUCAAAAAACUGAGAAAAGAUAGUAGUAGAAUUUUGUGGUGAUUGAGGGAGGAAUUGCGAGAAGAGAGUAUAAGAAAGAAAAGAGAAAUAGAAGAAAGAGAGAAAAGGAUGCCUAUAAAAAAGGUUCCAUCUUUUACCAUUAACAAUGUUUAUGCGACAACUUCAAGAUACGAGAAUAAUUGU